CAGUCGCCACGGUAAUACGAAGGGUGCAAGCGUUAAUCGGAAUUACUGGGCGUAAAGCGUGCGUAGGCGGUGAGUUAAGUCUGCUGUGAAAUCCCCGGGCUCAACCUGGGAAUGGCAGUGGAUACUGGCUCGCUAGAGUGUGUCAGAGGAUGGUGGAAUUCCCGGUGUAGCGGUGAAAUGCGUAGAUAUGCGGAGGAACACCGAUGGCGAAGGCAGCCCCCUGGGCCAACACUGACGCUCAUGCACGAAAGCGUGGGGAGCAAGCAGGAUUAGAUACCCCUGUAGUCCCUGUCUCUUAUAC
This 301-nucleotide ribosomal RNA is filed under the name uncultured bacterium. Its description in RNAcentral is "partial 16S ribosomal RNA". It matches the Rfam family "Bacterial small subunit ribosomal RNA", at positions 509 to 807 of the family's 1533-position model. The record is from RNAcentral.